RNAcentral lists this ribosomal RNA (252 nucleotides) under uncultured bacterium. RNAcentral's name for it is "partial 16S ribosomal RNA". It matches the Rfam family "Bacterial small subunit ribosomal RNA", at positions 527 to 779 of the family's 1533-position model. The record is from RNAcentral.
CGGAGGAGCUAGCGUUGUUCGGAAUUACUGGGCGUAAAGCGCACGUAGGCGGCCAUUCAAGUCAGAGGUGAAAGCCCAGUGCUCAACACUGGAACUGCCUUUGAAACUAGAUGGCUUGAAUCCAGGAGAGGUGAGUGGAAUUCCGAGUGUAGAGGUGAAAUUCGUAGAUAUUCGGAAGAACACCAGUGGCGAAGGCGGCUCACUGGACUGGUAUUGACGCUGAGGUGCGAAAGCGUGGGAGCAAACAGGAUU